CUCGUAGGCGGUCUGUCGCGUCGGAAGUGAAAACUCGGGGCUCAACCCCGAGCCUGCUUUCGAUACGGGCAGACUUGAGGAAUGUAGGGGAGAACGGAAUUCCUGGUGGAGCGGUGGAAUGCGCAGAUAUCAGGAGGAACACCAGUGGCGAAGGCGGUUCUCUGGACAUUAACUGACGCUGAGGAGCGAAAGCGUGGGGAGCAAACA
This 207-nucleotide ribosomal RNA is filed under the name uncultured bacterium. RNAcentral describes it as "partial 16S ribosomal RNA". It matches the Rfam family "Bacterial small subunit ribosomal RNA", at positions 568 to 774 of the family's 1533-position model. The record is from RNAcentral.